GCCCAGGUCAAGACCAUGCCUAGAUCGGUUUCCUAAACCGUGUGUCGCAGGUUCGAAUCCUGCCGGGGGCA
This 71-nucleotide transfer RNA is filed under the name Geodermatophilus obscurus DSM 43160. RNAcentral's name for it is "tRNA-Arg (CCT) (tRNA-Arg-CCT-2-1)". Lineage: Bacteria; Bacillati; Actinomycetota; Actinomycetes; Geodermatophilales; Geodermatophilaceae. The record is from RNAcentral.